Molecule: ribosomal RNA, 460 nt
Filed under: uncultured bacterium
Lineage: Bacteria
Description: partial 16S ribosomal RNA
Rfam family: Bacterial small subunit ribosomal RNA
Source: RNAcentral
CCUACGGGAGGCAGCAGUGAGGAAUAUUGGUCAAUGGACGAGAGGCUGAACCAGCCAAGUAGCGUGAAGGAUGACUGCCCUAUGGGUUGUAAACUUCUUUUAUAUGGGAAUAAAAUGUUCCACGUGUGGGAUUUUGUAUGUACCAUAUGAAUAAGGAUCGGCUAACUCCGUGCCAGCAGCCGCGGUAAUACGGAGGAUCCGACCGUUAUCCGGAUUUAGUGGGUUUAAAGGGAGCGUAGGUGGAUUGUUAAGUCAGUUGUGAAAGUUUGCGGCUCAAGCGUAAAAUUGCAGUUGAAACUGGCAGUCUUGAGUACAGUAGAGGUGGGCGGAAUUCGUGGUGUAGCGGUGAAAUGCUUAGAUAUCACGAAGAACUCCGAUUGCGAAGGCAGCUCACUGGACUGCAACUGACACUGAGGCUCGAAAGUGUGGGUAUCAAACAGGAUUAGAUACCCCUGUAGUC